GACGAACGCUGGCGGCGUGCUUAACACAUGCAAGUCGAACGGAAAGGCCUUGCUUUUGUGGGGUGCUCGAGUGGCGAACGGGUGAGUAACACGUGAGUAACAUGCCCUUGACUUUGGGAUAACUUCAGGAAACUGGGGCUAAUAUCGGAUAGGAGCUCCUGCUGCACGGUGGGGGUUGGAAAGUUUCGGCGGUUGGGGAUGGACUCGCGGCUUAUCAGCUUGUUGGUGGGGUAGUGGCUUACCAAGGCUUUGACGGGUAGCCGGCCUGAGAGGGCGACCGGCCACAAUGGGACUAAGAGACGGCCCAGACUCCUACGGGAGGCAGCAGUGGGGAAUAUUGCGCAAUGGGCGGAAGCCUGAUGCAGCAACGCCGCGUGCGGGAUGACGGCCUUCGGGUUGUAAACCGCUGUCGCCUGUGACGAAGCGUGAGUGACGGUAAUGGGUAAAGAAGCACCGGCUAACUACGUG
RNAcentral lists this ribosomal RNA (468 nucleotides) under uncultured bacterium. RNAcentral describes it as "partial 16S ribosomal RNA". It matches the Rfam family "Bacterial small subunit ribosomal RNA", at positions 28 to 507 of the family's 1533-position model. The record is from RNAcentral.